Canis lupus familiaris (dog) is the source of this 45-nucleotide non-coding RNA. The record is from Rfam. NCBI's taxonomy places the organism in Eukaryota, Metazoa, Chordata, Mammalia, Carnivora, Canidae.
CCACAGGCUCUUUUCUGAGCCACUCACAAUUUCUGAGAAAAAAAA